CUCUCUCUCUCUCUCUCUCUCUCUCUGCAACUCCACGACUCUCUCCUUCUACCAGCCCCCGACUCUAUCUUGUCUCUCUGCUGUCAUUUUGGGAGAAGGCCCCUGUUUUUAGACUGGUUUUCCGAAAUUUUCAUUUGGGCAAACCACCCUAAUUUCAGGGCUUACGAUCGAGCCGCCAUUAAGUUCAGGGGAGUCGAUGCAGACAUCAAUUUCAACCUUAGUGAUUAUGAUGAAGAUCUGAAAUAGGGUGACUUCAGCUUUGAUGACAGACUUGGAAGACCAUCUCUUCAUCCACGAAGCAGUUGAUUUCCAGUCUUCUGAUUGUCGAUCCUCACAGAAGACCACUGCACAACAGGAACCUCUCUGUCUAGGAUGUGAACAAAUUUGCUGGAGGGAGACGAUCAAUUUUAUUGAAUUGAUCUCUGCAGGUGCUGAUGUCUCGAUGGAUCUAGGAAAGGCUUGCAAAGAAAUCCAUUGGCAUAUUCCUUUUUGGGUCUCCAAGGAUUUUUGGAAAGGAGUUUCUAUUUAAAAAUAAAAUAAAAUUUAUCCGGAACAGUAAAUGCCGCAAUCCCAAUUUUUAUUUUUAUUUUCUAAUAGAGAGAAUGAUGAAGCUUGGAACGUUGUCCCAAUUGUCAGAUAUAUGAAUCCAUCUCACUUAGUCAUGGUCAUGAGUCCCUCAGGAGUGGAGAUAUAUAUAAAGUUGAAAUUGUGUUUAGGUUUCUAGAUGGAAAUUUUGAUCUGAAAAGACUAGACCAUAUUGAAGAUGAGCCAAAUUUUUCUGCAACUGCAGGCAGUUCAUAUCAUAAUGCAUCUUUAAGUGUGAUGGACAUGGAAUUGGCUGCAAAGGUAUCUUCUACUGGUAACUGUGGAGAGAGAUAUAAGCCAGAAGAAUAUAUUCAUCAUUUAUUAAACCAAAUUGAUAGGGCUAUAAGUGCUGGUUGAAAAUGGUGAAUUUCCUUCUCUUGUUUUACUCCCCAGAGAUGUAUUUAAUUAUUUG
Long non-coding RNA from Magnolia sinica, 997 nucleotides. RefSeq lists it as uncharacterized. The transcript has 3 exons. NCBI's taxonomy places the organism in Eukaryota, Viridiplantae, Streptophyta, Magnoliopsida, Magnoliales, Magnoliaceae. The record is from RefSeq and is a predicted model, not a curated record.